CCUACGGGUGGCUGCAGUGGGGAAUAUUGCACAAUGGGCGCAAGCCUGAUGCAGCCAUGCCGCGUGUGUGAAGAAGGCCUUCGGGUUGUAAAGCACUUUCAGCGGGGAGGAAGGCGGUGAGGUUAAUAACCUCAUCGAUUGACGUUACCCGCAGAAGAAGCACCGGCUAACUCCGUGCCAGCAGCCGCGGUAAUACGGAGGGUGCAAGCGUUAAUCGGAAUUACUGGGCGUAAAGCGCACGCAGGCGGUCUGUCAAGUCGGAUGUGAAAUCCCCGGGCUCAACCUGGGAACUGCAUUCGAAACUGGCAGGCUAGAGUCUUGUAGAGGGGGGUAGAAUUCCAGGGGUAGCGGUGAAAUGCGUAGAGAUCUGGAGGAAUACCGGUGGCGAAGGCGGCCCCCUGGACAAAGACUGACGCUCAGGUGCGAAAGCGUGGGGAGCAAACAGGAUGAGAUACCCCUGUAGUC
RNAcentral lists this ribosomal RNA (465 nucleotides) under uncultured Klebsiella sp. Its description in RNAcentral is "bacterial SSU rRNA". It matches the Rfam family "Bacterial small subunit ribosomal RNA", at positions 338 to 795 of the family's 1533-position model. The record is from RNAcentral. Lineage: Bacteria; Pseudomonadati; Pseudomonadota; Gammaproteobacteria; Enterobacterales; Enterobacteriaceae.